This 301-nucleotide ribosomal RNA is filed under the name uncultured bacterium. RNAcentral describes it as "partial 16S ribosomal RNA". It matches the Rfam family "Bacterial small subunit ribosomal RNA", at positions 509 to 807 of the family's 1533-position model. The record is from RNAcentral.
CAGCAGCCACGGUAAUACGAAGGGUGCAAGCGUUACUCGGAAUUACUGGGCGUAAAGCGUGCGUAGGUGGUGGUUUAAGUCCGUUGUGAAAGCCCUGGGCUCAACCUGGGAAUUGCAGUGGAUACUGGGUCACUAGAGUGUGGUAGAGGAUAGUGGAAUUUCCGGUGUAGCGGUGAAAUGCGUAGAGAUCUGGAGGAAUACCGGUGGCGAAGGCGGCCCCCUGGACAAAGACUGACGCUCAGGUGCGAAAGCGUGGGGAGCAAACAGGAUUAGAUACCCGCGUAGUCCCUGUCUCUUAUAC